Molecule: microRNA precursor, 166 nt
Filed under: Oryza brachyantha (malo sina)
Lineage: Eukaryota; Viridiplantae; Streptophyta; Magnoliopsida; Poales; Poaceae
Description: MIR812 microRNA precursor family
Rfam family: MIR812 microRNA precursor family
Source: Rfam by way of RNAcentral
UACAAUGUUUCGACUCUUCGUUUUAUUUGAAAUUUUUUUGCGAUUAAUAUUUUUAUUGUUACUAGAUGAUAAAAUAUGAAUAGUACUUUAUGCGUGACUAUUUUUUUAAAUUUUUGUAAAAAUUUUUCAAAUAAGAUGAAUGGUCAAAUAUUGGACACGGAAAAAC